GAGAGUGUGGAGUUCCUCUGGCCCACAGGCCUGGCAUUCCCAGGGCUCCAGAAACUUGUCAAAGCAGGCCGUCUGGCUUCAGAGCCCUCCUUACUGAUCCUAGGGAAGAAAGAGCAGAAUGAAAAUACCACCCUGCGGCACCCACGGUGACAGAGUCCACGGGGACUUUGAUGUUAGAGACAAGCAGAGUUAAGAAAGGCCAGGUCACGUCUCACCUGCUGCUAACGUUCUACUGGGGCUCUCUGACCCUCUGUAUAGCGAUGAUCACCAGGACUCAUCAGAAGCCGCCAACAGAAGACCGCCUUCACCUUGUCCUUUGUUCUAAGCAUCCCUGGCCCUUCCUGCCAGGGACCAUCUCUGUGACAUGGUUCUCUAUGGCACCCCAAACUCCUGCUGGUCACUCAGAUUCCAAUCCCAUGCCCCGGUGACACAAAUUGCACACUUCAGCCAGCACCGCCUACAAAAUUAUCAGGGGAAGCGGAGGAACAAUGAAUCCCUAACGUCCGUGGGAACAUAGCUCUAAAGCAGAGACUUGUGUACCCCAGCAUCUUCACUCGCCCCAUUAUUUUAACUACGCAUGUGGCUAUCCCAAACACUACUGUUUCCAGCUUCUUAUGCAGUUGAACAUAAUAAGAGCACAUGUCUGCCUCUGGCCAAUAAAUUAUAAAUGAAAACA
Long non-coding RNA from Mus musculus (house mouse), 676 nucleotides. RefSeq annotates it as predicted gene, 35994. NCBI's taxonomy places the organism in Eukaryota, Metazoa, Chordata, Mammalia, Rodentia, Muridae. The record is from RefSeq and is marked validated. The transcript is spliced from 3 exons.